This 462-nucleotide ribosomal RNA is filed under the name uncultured bacterium. RNAcentral's name for it is "partial 16S ribosomal RNA". It matches the Rfam family "Bacterial small subunit ribosomal RNA", at positions 28 to 507 of the family's 1533-position model. The record is from RNAcentral.
GACGAACGCUGGCGGCGUGCUUAACACAUGCAAGUCGAGCGGAAAGGCCCUUCGGGGUACUCGAGCGGCGAACGGGUGAGUAACACGUGAGUAACCUGCCCCAGACUUUGGGAUAACCCUCGGAAACGGGGGCUAAUACCGGAUACGACACAGCUUCGCAUGGGGUCUGUGUGGAAAGUUUUUCGGUUUGGGAUGGGCUCGCGGCCUAUCAGCUUGUUGGUGGGGUGAUGGCCUACCAAGGCGACGACGGGUAGCCGGCCUGAGAGGGCGACCGGCCACACUGGGACUGAGACACGGCCCAGACUCCUACGGGAGGCAGCAGUGGGGAAGAUUGCACAAUGGGCGGAAGCCUAAUGCAGCGACGCCGCGUGAGGGAUGGCGACCUUCGGGUUGUAAACCUCUUUCAGCAGGGACGAAGCGUAAGUGACGGUACCUGCAGAAGAAGCGCCGGCCAACUACGUG